UACGAAGGGGGCUAGCGUUGUUCGGAAUCACUGGGCGUAAAGGGCGCGUAGGCGGCCAUAUAAGUCGGGGGUGAAAGCCUGUGGCUCAACCACAGAAUUGCCUUCGAUACUGUAUGGCUUGAGACCGGAAGAGGUAAGUGGAACUGCGAGUGUAGAGGUGAAAUUCGUAGAUAUUCGCAAGAACACCAGUGGCGAAGGCGGCUUACUGGUCCGGUUCUGACGCUGAGGCGCGAAAGCGUGGGGAGCAAACAGG
This 253-nucleotide ribosomal RNA is filed under the name uncultured bacterium. Its description in RNAcentral is "partial 16S ribosomal RNA". It matches the Rfam family "Bacterial small subunit ribosomal RNA", at positions 524 to 776 of the family's 1533-position model. The record is from RNAcentral.